GGGCUUUGACGUUCCUUUUUCAUUUGCGGUGCGUGCGUCAUCACGUCACACCGACCUAUCAGCUGAUCUCACAGCUGAUUUCACUCCAGCUGAGACGCCGGCUUUUCGCAAGCUAGGAGGAAUAGCUGUCGGUCAACGUGCUUUCCUUUGUCCAUCCAAACGUGCAUUCUGGUCUACUCUUUGCACUCCGAUCUGUUGCCAAAUUCAACUUGGCGUGACACGCUCUCCGCCUCGUACAAGUGUAUCUACCGGUGCCAUCAGCUGUUUGUUGGCUACCCUGUUCAUCUACCAAAGCUCCGAGAGCUCUCUCCUUCUGGCUCAGCGUGGGUUUGAGUUUCCUCUGACUCGUCGGCCUUUAUUGUCUUCCUCCUCUCCUCCUCUGCUGUUGUGGAACGCGCCUUGGUGUAGCUGCAGACUCCCGGUUCGCUCUGAAUUGCUGCUGUUUUGUCCCCCCUCGAUACGUGCUUCGGACUGACGCGUCGCAGUGUCCGGUCAUCCGAGGGCUAUUACUCCGAAAGCAUUCAGCAGCCCAGCAUAAGUUACCUUGCGCAGGUGGCGCAUGUGGCCGAGUUCAGUGUGUGCGUGAAUGUAGUCUGUGUGCAGGUAAUCCCAGAGGGAGGUCCUCUUCCCCCCUGGUGGUGGGUCCGGUCACGUGGUGUGCAGUGAAUUGCAGUGCAGUGCAGUGUUACCUGUGUGUGAGUGCAAUAAUUCACCUUCACUUAGUGUGUGCAUGGGCACGAGUGUUUGUGUGUACUUAUCCAAGACCUAUACAGGGGGCUUAGUAUAAUUCCCCCCUCUUGGGUGCACCUGCCCUGUAUUUGAGAACCCUCCCUUUUGUACCGAUUUGUGUGAGUGUGUAUGUGAGUGUGAGUGUGUGUGUGCAUUGUGGUGGGAAAUAUUUUAAACUGU
This is a long non-coding RNA of Engraulis encrasicolus (European anchovy), 909 nucleotides long. RefSeq lists it as uncharacterized. The transcript has 4 exons. Lineage: Eukaryota; Metazoa; Chordata; Actinopteri; Clupeiformes; Engraulidae. The record is from RefSeq and is a predicted model, not a curated record.